This 388-nucleotide ribosomal RNA is filed under the name uncultured Chrysophyceae. Its description in RNAcentral is "partial small subunit ribosomal RNA". It matches the Rfam family "Eukaryotic small subunit ribosomal RNA", at positions 30 to 432 of the family's 1831-position model. Lineage: Eukaryota; Chrysophyceae. The record is from RNAcentral.
GCUUGUCUCAAAGAUUAAGCCAUGCAUGUCUCAGAAUAAAUCUCUAUACGUUGAAUCUGCAAAUGGCUCUUUAAAACAGUUAUUGUUUACUUGAUGGUCCUUGCUACUUGGAUAACCGUAGUAAUUCUAGAGCUAAUACAUGCAUUAAACCCCGACUUCUGGAAGGGGUGUAUUUAUUAGAUGGAAACCAAUGCGGGGUAACCCGGAAUAUGGUGAUUCAUAAUAACUUUCGGAUCGAUUUAUCGAUGCAUCAUUCAAGUUUCUGCCCUAUCAGCUUUGGAUGGUAGGGUAUUGGCCUACCAUGGCUUUAACGGGUAACGGAGAAUUAGGGUUCGAUUCCGGAGAGGGAGCCUGAGAAAUGGCUACCACAUCCAAGGAAGGCAGCAGG